This is a long non-coding RNA of Ipomoea nil (Japanese morning glory), 88 nucleotides long. RefSeq lists it as uncharacterized. Lineage: Eukaryota; Viridiplantae; Streptophyta; Magnoliopsida; Solanales; Convolvulaceae. The record is from RefSeq and is a predicted model, not a curated record. The transcript has 3 exons.
UUUUGAUGAUUUAACAACAAUUUUGAAGUAGGUGUAGAUGUUCAUGUAAAUAUUGAUUCUGAAUUUUAAAUUUAUCUCCAAUCAAUUA